This 253-nucleotide ribosomal RNA is filed under the name uncultured bacterium. RNAcentral describes it as "partial 16S ribosomal RNA". It matches the Rfam family "Bacterial small subunit ribosomal RNA", at positions 524 to 776 of the family's 1533-position model. The record is from RNAcentral.
UACGGAGGGGGCAAGCGUUAUUCGGAAUUAUUGGGCGUAAAGGGCGCGUAGGCGGCUAGAUGUGUCAAAGGUGAAAUCCCUCGGCUCAACUGAGGAACUGCCUUUGAAACUGUCUGGCUUGAGGCCGGGAGAGGGUAGCGGAAUUCCCAGUGUAGCGGUGAAAUGCGUAGAUAUUGGGAGGAACACCAAUUGCGAAGGCAGCUCGCUGGGACGUUACUGACGCUGAGACGCGAAAGCGUGGGGAGCAAACAGG